CUAGGUUCUAAGUUGGGUGCAGGGGCAUAAUCAAGCACUAUACAGCUUGGGAUCAACUAAAAGCCCUGGUCUUCCAUCCGCAGCCAGGAGAUUGCUGAGGAGGCCAUUACACCCAUUGGUUGAACUCUCUUUUAGAUGUCAAUUCAAAAUAGGAAUGCUGGUUCUAAAUUGGAUGCAGCCGCAUAAUCAGGCAAUAUAUAGCUUGGGAUCAACUGAAAGCCCUGGUCUCCGAUCCGCGGCCACGAGGUAAAACAAUUUGCAAGGCAGUACGCAUUACAGCAGUUCAAUCUCUUUGCCAAAGUAUGCUCGAGUGUCGAGAAUUCCGGAACUAGCAGAAAAUUGCCAUUACAUCUCAGGAUAAAAUGUCACGGUUCGUAGAUCCGUGAUUAGUCCAAUCUGCCAUUGUUUAUCCAGCAGCACGUAUGUCUACUGCCUAGCCCCUAGGCACGAUUGGGGCAGGGAGUUUGUUGAGGGCUGUAAGUAGAUAGCCUGUAAAAAAAGAGUUCCAGACAAUCCCAAUAGUAAGGUGCUCAGGCCACAAUAGUGGCACACAAGCCAGCAGACAGCACACCCUAAAGUAGUUUGACUAGCAUCGCCAGCUAGUACAACAAACCAAGCAAGUAGAGCCACACGACACGCGUACUAGGCGUGCAUUCCACAGAUCUACAUGCCAAAUGCACCAUCAAAUCUGAGCCAGUUUGAGCAGUGCAAGGUCCGGUAGUAAGGGCCAGCACGCAUACAGGCCGCGCACAUUUCAGCCUCAUAGGAAAAGGCCGCGUGCAUAAUCAACUCGAUACCAUUGGGCCGUGCAAUAGAAGGCCACAUGAUCCUUGCCUCACAAGCAGCCCGUGCACAAAACAGCAACACACAUGGGCGGCCCCACAGCAACAGGACAAACGGGCCACACAUUCUCAAUGCCCACACGCCAAAAGGGGCUUCACCCUGGCAGCACUCUACAAAGCCUAAUGGUAAGAGCUGACAUCAUUAGGGCUCGCACAUGCUGAACGCCCAUCAGCAACAGGUGCAAGUCAGUUCCACAUGAGCGUCGCAUACCAAGCCAACCUAUCUAGGAGCCGCUUGCUCAUAGAGUCUAACCCCGAGGAAGACCACUCCUUGGAAGACCUGACAGAGACACCAAUUAGCUCACCCAAGAGCACCAGCUUAAAGUGCAUUUCGCCAAACCACAAUCGCAGAUGGCCAUGGAGCUUUGCAGAGAUAGGGGCCAACUACAAACAAGCCAUCCACACUAAACCAACAAAGUGCUCCAAUAGCUCGCACGCACUAGCAGGAGGCAACAGCAGCUCACAUGCUCAGCACACAGAAGCAUAGUGCUGCCGACUUCAUAGCCAAGCAAGUUUCUAUGGUUUUUAAAAUCUUUGUCAAUUUUCCUAACUUGUGAGAAUAUUUGCUUACCAGUAAGCUUAGUUUUAAGACUUUCCUUUCAUGCAAAUUUAAAUUACUUGGGCAUCAAGUUUAAGUCAAGUAAACUAUUAUAAAUAGCAUCUUAGAGUGUUUUUAU
Molecule: non-coding RNA, 1519 nt
Organism: Theobroma umbraticum
Lineage: Eukaryota; Viridiplantae; Streptophyta; Magnoliopsida; Malvales; Malvaceae
Source: RefSeq, a predicted model, not a curated record